This 502-nucleotide ribosomal RNA is filed under the name uncultured bacterium. RNAcentral describes it as "bacterial SSU rRNA". It matches the Rfam family "Bacterial small subunit ribosomal RNA", at positions 29 to 524 of the family's 1533-position model. The record is from RNAcentral.
AUUGAACGCUGGCGGCAUGCCUUACACAUGCAAGUCGAACGGUAACGCGGGGCAACCUGGCGACGAGUGGCGAACGGGUGAGUAAUACAUCGGAACGUGCCCAGUAGUGGGGGAUAGCCCGGCGAAAGCCGGAUUAAUACCGCAUACGACCUACGGGUGAAAGCAGGGGAUCGCAAGACCUUGCGCCAUUGGAGCGGCCGAUGUCAGAUUAGGUUGUUGGUGGGGGUAAAGGCCUACCAAGCCGACGAUCUGUAGCUGGUCUGAGAGGACGACCAGCCACACUGGGACUGAGACACGGCCCAGACUCCUACGGGAGGCAGCAGUGGGGAAUUUUGGACAAUGGGCGCAAGCCUGAUCCAGCCAUGCCGCGUGCGGGAAGAAGGCCUUCGGGUUGUAAACCGCUUUGUCAGGGAAGAAACGACUCCGGGCUAAUACCUCGGGGUAAGUGACGGUACCUGAAGAAUAAGACACCGGCUAACUACGUGCCAGCAGCCGCGGUAAU